Molecule: ribosomal RNA, 253 nt
Filed under: uncultured bacterium
Lineage: Bacteria
Description: partial 16S ribosomal RNA
Rfam family: Bacterial small subunit ribosomal RNA
Source: RNAcentral
UACGUAGGGGGCAAGCGUUGUCCGGAAUCAUUGGGCGUAAAGCGCGUGUAGGCGGUCCGGUAAGUCCGCUGUGAAAGUCGGGGGCUUAACCCUCGGAUGCCGGUGGAUACUGUCGGGCUUGAGUACGGAAGAGGCGAGUGGAAUUCCUGGUGUAGCGGUGAAAUGCGCAGAUAUCAGGAGGAACACCAAUUGCGAAGGCAGCUCGCUGGGACGUUACUGACGCUGAGGAGCGAAAGCGUGGGGAGCGAACCGG